GAAGGGGUGACUGGUGACAGAGUGAGGGAAUGACUGGUGACAGAGUGAGAGAGGGGGUGACUAGUGACAGAGUGAGGAAGGGGGUGACAGUGAUAGUCACCCCAUUCCUCCCUCUGUCACUAAUCACCACCUCCCUCACUCUCACUAGUCACCCCUUCCCUCCCUCACUCUGUCACUAGUCACACCCUCCCUCUCUCUGUCACUAGUCACACCCUUAC
Non-coding RNA from Pelobates cultripes (western spadefoot toad), 218 nucleotides. The record is from the annotation of a GenBank genome assembly. NCBI's taxonomy places the organism in Eukaryota, Metazoa, Chordata, Amphibia, Anura, Pelobatidae.